AAAAAAUAAUGAAUUCUAAUGAUCAGAAAGUUUUUUAUGUAACCCCUUCACUAAGUGUGUUUAAGGGACAUACUUAAAAUAAAACAUUGAUCUAAUGAAGAGAUAUAUUUACUAAUUAAGUGUUCUAAAUGGGCAAAUACAACCCAUUGAUCACCUUAAUUAAAUGCUAGAAAUAUUUAAUUGUUUUUGAAAUUGCUACAUGAGCUUUAUACAAUAAUAUAAAUUGAUCAAGUCAAGCCAUAUGAUAUUUACGAAGAGAGAAAAAAUGGGUAAAUCUCUCAAGUUAAUUUCCACAAUAAUUUUAUUUAUUUUCCUGUUUUUUACUACAAAGGAGGUUGCUAGUAAUCCAAGCAUUUUCAAAACAUCUAUCCAAUGUAAAACUGUUAAAGAGUGUCCUGAUGUAGUUGAAGCCGACAACAAGUACGUUGCUUAUAUAUGCAUGAAUGGUUACUGUCAUAGAAUGACUUACAGACCAUAGAAGUGAGUUCUCCAAGGUGCAACCAACAAUCAUCAUAUUUUUAAUUUUUUGUUUCUUA
RNAcentral lists this long non-coding RNA (536 nucleotides) under Trifolium pratense (red clover). Its description in RNAcentral is "long non-coding RNA (TPRA_LNC010178)". The record is from RNAcentral. Lineage: Eukaryota; Viridiplantae; Streptophyta; Magnoliopsida; Fabales; Fabaceae.